CAAGUGAUGAUAUACAAAUCAUAGAGUCAAGCACAGAGGCCAUAUAAUGGCUGUUGAAGAUCAAGAUUUUAAAACCUAUCUGAUGAA
This 87-nucleotide small nucleolar RNA is filed under the name Trichophyton rubrum BMU01672. RNAcentral describes it as "CD-box snoRNA". Lineage: Eukaryota; Fungi; Ascomycota; Eurotiomycetes; Onygenales; Arthrodermataceae. The record is from RNAcentral.